AAUCCUUUAGAGAUAGAGGAGUGCUCGAAAGAGAACCGUAACACAGGUGCUGCAUGGCUGUCGUCAGCUCGUGUCGUGAGAUGUUGGGUUAAGUCCCGCAACGAGCGCAACCCUUGUCAUUAGUUGCUACAUUCAGUUGGGCACUCUAAUGAGACUGCCGGUGACAACCGGAGGAAGGUGGGGAUGACGUCAAGUCCUCAUGGCCCUUAUAGGUGGGGCUACACACGUCAUACAAUGGAUGGUACAAAGGGUCGCCAACCCGCGAGGGGGAGCCAAUCCCAUAAAGCCAUUCGUAGUCCGGAUCGCAGUCUGCAACUCGACUGCGUGAAGUCGGAAUCGCUAGUAAUCGUGGAUCAGAAUGUCACGGUGAAUACGUUCCCGGGUCUU
Molecule: ribosomal RNA, 387 nt
Filed under: uncultured Acidovorax sp.
Lineage: Bacteria; Pseudomonadati; Pseudomonadota; Betaproteobacteria; Burkholderiales; Comamonadaceae
Description: bacterial SSU rRNA
Rfam family: Bacterial small subunit ribosomal RNA
Source: RNAcentral